Molecule: transfer RNA, 72 nt
Filed under: Sus scrofa (pig)
Lineage: Eukaryota; Metazoa; Chordata; Mammalia; Artiodactyla; Suidae
Rfam family: tRNA
About the family: Transfer RNA (tRNA) molecules are approximately 80 nucleotides in length. Their secondary structure includes four short double-helical elements and three loops (D, anti-codon, and T loops).
Source: Rfam by way of RNAcentral
UCCCUGGUGGUCUAGGGGUUAGGACUCUGGUCUUUCACCUCUGCGGCCUGGGAUCAAUCCCUGGUCUGGGAA